This 4447-nucleotide long non-coding RNA is filed under the name Nicotiana benthamiana. RNAcentral's name for it is "long non-coding RNA (NBEN_LNC031752)". The record is from RNAcentral. Lineage: Eukaryota; Viridiplantae; Streptophyta; Magnoliopsida; Solanales; Solanaceae.
AUCCACCUGGAAAGAGAAGAGAGAAAGACGUUAGGAAGAUGAACGGAGAGAGAGAGAGAGAGAGAGAGAGAGUAACAGAGAGAGAGAGAGAAACAGAGAGAGAGAGAGUAACAAACUUACCGGAUCAAAAACUGUAAUUUCUCCCUCCAAUUCUGUUAUUUAUUAAUUCUGAACUAGUGAUUGGGCUGCUGGUUAUUAUUGAUUGGUAACUUCUCCAAAUUGGGCAUGUUACUUGUGACUUAGGCCCAAUACCGCCUAAGCCCAACAUAGGCUUCUUCUCUUAUCCUUAUCUCUUUUCCUAAUUCAUUUCUUCACUUUCGUAAGUUCUCCGCCUCAGGCAUAACAUUCUCCACCCCUUCAAGAUAGACCUUGUCCUCAAGGUCUUUGUUGUGCCACAAAAUCUGGGAAUCGGUCUUGAUGUAACCCCAAUCUUCCCAUGAUGCUUCUUCUCUGCCUAGGUUAGCCUAUUGAAUCAAUACCUUGACCUGAACCCCAUUAUCGACCUUGACCAUUCUUCUCUCUAAACUGGCAAUUGGUUGGAUCAAGACUCAACCUUCAUCAUCACAAGUGGGAGGUUGUAGCUGAGAUGUCGCUGUUAGAUCGAUCCACUUCUUUAAUUGAGACAUAUAGAAGACAGAUGAAGCUGAGAUCCACUUGGAAGUUCAAGCCGGUAAGCCACUGUACUAAUCUUCUGUAGAAUUUUGUACGGACCAUAACAGCGAGCACUUAACUUCACAUUUUUACGAACAUCGACUGAAGAUUGUCUGUAAGGUUGAAGCUUUAGGUAGACUAGAACCCCUACUGCCAAAGUCCUUUCUAACCUUAGUUUGUCUGCAUAAAAUUUCAUUCUAGAUUAAGCUUGAGUGAGGUUAUCUUUGAUAGUUUGUAGCAUGUGUUAUCGUUGUGCUAUAUUGGCUCAUGCUCAGUUGUGACCAUUAUGAGGCAAUGACCCCAAUGGUAAUUGAGUCGGAGGGUGUCCAUAUAGCGCCUCAAAUGGUGUGUCUUGAGAGAAGUGUGGUAGUUAGUAUUGUACCACCACUCUGCAAGAUGUAGCCAUUUAGCCCACUGCUAGGAUUUCCAAAUACUAUCGCUCACAGAUAAGUCUCUAAGCACUUGUUGAGUCACUCAGACUGACCAUCGGACUGUGGGUGAUAGGAAGAACUCAUGUUGAGUUUAGUGCCUAAAGCCUUGAAGAGGUGCAGCCAAAAAUGGCUAGUAAAAAUGGUAUCUCUAUCAGAGACAAUAGCCUUGGGAAGCCCAUGUAAUAUGUAUAUCUCCCUCAUAAACAAUUAUGCUACACAUUGUGCUGAAUAUGGGUGUUUAAUAGCUAGGAAAUGCCCAUACUUUGUUAGUCUAUCUAUGACUACCAACACUUCGAUAAAGUCAAGAGAUAUAUCCUGCCAAGCCUGUUCAAGAAUAGUAAGGGUUGGAGUAACCCUGGAUAAUGUUUGUGUUCAGCCUUAGUCCUUUGGCAGAUAUCACACUCACUAACCCACUUAAAGUUUUUUGAUUUCAUUUUUGGCCGAUAGAACAUUGAUUGCACCCUCCUGUAGGUUCCUUGAUUAACUGAGUGUCCUCAUAAUGAUGAUUGAUGCAGGGCUUCCAAUAUCUGUUGCUUCAACUAUUUAUUCUUCCCAACAUAGAUCUUUUGCUUGAAUUUGAUGAUUCCUUGGUGUACUGAGUAGUUAUCUUUGCUGUUAGGACUGAUCACUAACUGACUUAAAAUCUGUAGAGCUAUUGGAUCAUUCUCAUAACUCUGAGAAACCUCCUAUAACCAUGUGGCCUGGGAUGUAGAUAUAGCUGUUAGUGUAGAGUCUUCUUCUUGUCUUCUUGAAAGAGCAUCUGCAACCUUCUUCUCCACACCUUUCUUGUAUUGAACCGCAUAAUCCAACCCUAGUAAUUAGUAAGUCCUUUAUGUUGUAAGGCUAUGGACACUUUUUGCUCUAAUAUAUACUUAAGACUCUGAUGAUCUGUUUUGACGAUGAAGUGUCCCCCUGGUAAGUAAUGCCUCCAUUUGUCUAUGGCUGAAAGUACAGCAAGGUACUCCUUUUCAUAAGUAGAAAGUCCCUUGUGUUUCAAGGCUAAUGCCUAACUGAAAUAGGCUAUAGGUCUGCCCCCUUGCAUGAGUACAACUCCCAUACCUAUUGCACAUGCAUCAGUUUCGAUAAUAAAUGGUUUACUAAAAUCAGCAAGAGUCAAUAUUGGACAGUUGCCAUGGCUUAUUUCAAUUGCUGGAAAUCCUCUUCUGCUUCUGUACUCCACAUAAAAGAAUUCUUCUUGAGAAGAUUUGUCAAGGGUCUACUGAUAACUCCAUAGAGCUUAACAAAUCUUCUAUAAUAGCAAAUUAACCCAAAAAAUCCCAUUAAGGCUUUCAAAGACUUAGGAAUAGGUCAAUUGAUCAUUUCUUCAAUCUUAGAAGGGUUCGUGGGAACUCCUUUUCCUGAGAUAAUGUGACCUAGGUACUCAACUUUAUCUUGUCCAAAUGAACACUUUGACAAUUUGGCAUAUAGUUGCUCCCUGUAAGGUCUAAUAUUGACUGGAACUGCUUCAGGUUUGAGGGGAAUGAAGUGAUCAUGCUUUCUUCUAGGAGGUAGUGCUUUUGGAUCGGCAAAGACCUUUGUAAUGUCUUUCAACACUAAUUUAAUCUCCUGGGGUAUGGCUGCUGUUACUUUUUCUUCUUUGGAGGUUAAAGUGAAUAGUGCCCGCAAUACUUGACUUUUCUUCAGUAGUUGCUUCAUACCUGAAGCUAACAUAGCUUGGAAGCUCCCUUCUUUAGUGUAUCCUUUCAAAUCUACCCUUUCCCAGUGACACUGACUUGCAACUUGUAUCCAAUGAAUUCAAAUAGUAUAUGAUUAUGCUUUCUCAUCCAAUCUCCCCCAAGUACUAUAUCACAACCUCCAAUUUCUAACAAUCUGAGUUUGUAAUCAAAUUAUACUCCUUGAACCUUCCAUUGAAACUGAGGGAAGUAGUGGUAGCUCAUCAUAUGACUACCAUUGGCAGCAGUCACCCUCAUAGGAGCAGCUUCUCUAAUCAUACACCAUAAUUGUUUGGCAGUGUCACUGGCCACAAAGUUGUGGGUGCUCCCACUAUCAGCUAAUGUUAUCAACUCUUGCUUCCUGUAUAUUUCUUUGAGCUUGAUUGUGUUCGAUGUAACCUUACCUGAUAAGGCAUUAAAACUAAUAGCUUCAUCAGUCACCUCUUCAUAAGGCUCCUCCAAUUCCUUAAUCUCUUCUAAACUGGACCCUUCUACCAUCUCCUCCUAUUCAGUAGUACCUGAUAGGAUAUUAAUUUGUCUAUUCUUACACACAUGACAUGGGAAGUGUCUUCUCCACUUAUAACACUCUCCCCUAGCUUUUCUAGCCUCAAACAGUUUGUUACCCGAUAUAGAAUUGUUAAGAUUCCUAUCUUUAUGCCGCAUACCAGAAUUCUUUACCACUCCUGCACUAAAAUUAGUGUUGUACUCUACCCCUUGUCUAUUACAAACCAAUUUUCCUUUUUGUUCAUUGAUUCCAACAGUUCUUCCUUAUGUCUAGCCUUCUCUACUGCUAUACUCAAUGAAUAAGGAUCCAAAAUUUUAACUGUGUACCUAAUUUCUUCCUGAAGACCUUCAAUGAAGAAUCCUAAGAAGAAUUCUUAAGUAUAGUAGGGUGUUUGAUCAACAGCCAAGCUAUAAGAUCUUCAAACUUCUCAAGAUACUCAUUCACAGUCCCUAUUUUCUCAAUCCUUUUGAAUUUUCCUAGAAAAUUCAGAUUGCUAUUAUCAGAAUUAUUAAACCUCUUACAAAUUUCCUCUACAAAAUCAGCCUAUCUUACGACUCCCUUGCUUAAUUGAUAUGAAAAAUACCAAGCCUAGGCUCUACCAUUUAAAUGUAACACAAUAGUUUCUAAUUGGUGGUGAGGAUCUAUUAUGCAAUUACAAUAAAAAUAUCUCUCACAUUUUUGCAGCCAAGACCUGGGAUCACCUUCUUCGAAAUAAGGCAAUCAACUUUGCUGUUGUUCACAUAGAAUCUACUGCCAGAAUUUUCAUGAAGAUCCUUCAUCCUUGCUCUACCGGAUCCUUCUGUCCUUUCGUGAAUUUUAGUUGGUGCACUCCCCAAAAGGCCAUCCUUGUUGGUGAAUAGCUUUUCCAUCAUCACAUCCAAUUUGUGACCAAGAUCAUUUAUUUUUGUCAUAUUAGUUCCAAUUUCUGAUUGGUUUUAGUCAUGUAAUUCUGUAAUUGUUGCUCUAAUUUCUUCACGCUUUCUUAUGUAAGUUUGGCUUGAGUUUCUGUAAUCGUCAUGAUGCGAGGAUCAGGCUCUGAUACCAAUUUUUAAUGUACUAGAAUUAUUAAGAAGAAAUUGAAAAUAACAAGCAGAACAUGAUUUAUUAUUCAAUUGUCAAUCAGUUAAACUACAAUUACAAUGGAUAUAAAAGAGCUCUUGUAUCCACAUGGAAAGAGAAGACAGAAA